ACGAACGCUGGCGGCAGGCCUAACACAUGCAAGUCGAACGCCCGUAGCAAUACGAGAGUGGCAGACGGGUGAGUAACACGUGGGAACCUUCCCUAUGGCUCGGAAUAGCUCAGGGAAACUCGAGGUAAUACCGGAUAAGCCCUUACGGGGAAAGAUUUAUCGCCAUUGGAUGGGCCCGCGUCGGAUUAGCUAGUUGGUGAGGUAACGGCUCACCAAGGCGACGAUCCGUAGCUGGUCUGAGAGGAUGAUCAGCCACACUGGGACGGAGACACGGCCCAGACUCCUACGGGAGGCAGCAGUGGGGAAUAUUGGACAAUGGGCGCAAGCCUGAUCCAGCCAUGCCGCGUGAGUGACGAAGGCCUUAGGGUUGUAAAGCUCUUUUAGCGGGGAAGAUAAUGACGGUACCCGCAGAAUAAGCUCCGGCUAACUUCGU
This 433-nucleotide ribosomal RNA is filed under the name uncultured bacterium. RNAcentral describes it as "bacterial SSU rRNA". It matches the Rfam family "Bacterial small subunit ribosomal RNA", at positions 29 to 506 of the family's 1533-position model. The record is from RNAcentral.